CUUCGGUGGGNNUUAAUGGCGAACGGGUGAGUAACACGUGGGCAAUCUGCCCUUCACUCUGGGACAAGCCCUGGAAACGGGGUCUAAUACCGGAUACUGACCCUCGCAGGCAUCUGCGAGGUUCGAAAGCUCCGGCGGUGAAGGAUGAGCCCGCGGCCUAUCAGCUUGUUGGUGAGGUAAUGGCUCACCAAGGCGACGACGGGUAGCCGGCCUGAGAGGGCGACCGGCCACACUGGGACUGAGACACGGCCCAGACUCCUACGGGAGGCAGCAGUGGGGAAUAUUGCACAAUGGGCGAAAGCCUGAUGCAGCCACGCCGCGUGAGGGAUGACCGCCUUCGGGUUGUAAACCUCUUUCAGCAGGGAAGAAGCGAAAGUGACGGUACCUGCANAANAAGGCGCCGGCUAACUACGUGCCAGCAGCCGCGGUAAUACCUAGGGCGCAAGCGUUGUCCGGAAUUAUUGGGCGUAAAGAGCUCGCAGGCGGCUUGUCACCUCGGUUAAGAAAGCCCGGGGCUUAACCCCGGGUCUGCAUUCCAUACCGGCAGGCUAGANUNNCGUAGAGUACAUCGGAAUUCCUGGUGUAGCGGUGAAAUGCNCAGAUAUCANGANUAANACNGGUGGCGAANGCCGAUCUCUGGGNCNNUACUGACNUUGAGAGNCNAAAGCGUGGGGAG
Molecule: ribosomal RNA, 676 nt
Filed under: Streptomyces sp. LK2221.1
Lineage: Bacteria; Bacillati; Actinomycetota; Actinomycetes; Kitasatosporales; Streptomycetaceae
Description: partial 16S ribosomal RNA
Rfam family: Bacterial small subunit ribosomal RNA
Source: RNAcentral